RNAcentral lists this ribosomal RNA (490 nucleotides) under uncultured bacterium. RNAcentral's name for it is "partial 16S ribosomal RNA". It matches the Rfam family "Bacterial small subunit ribosomal RNA", at positions 30 to 507 of the family's 1533-position model. The record is from RNAcentral.
AUUGAACGCUGGCGGCAGGCCUAACACAUGCAAGUCGAACGGUAACAGGAAGAAGCUCGCUUCUUUGCUGACGAGUGGCGGACGGGUGAGUAAUGUCUGGGAAACUGCCUGAUGGAGGGGGAUAACUACUGGAAACGGUAGCUAAUACCGCAUAACGUCGCAAGACCAAAGAGGGGGACCUUCGGGCCUCUUGCCAUCGGAUGUGCCCAGAUGGGAUUAGCUAGUAGGUGGGGUAACGGCUCACCUAGGCGACGAUCCCUAGCUGGUCUGAGAGGAUGACCAGCCACACUGGAACUGAGACACGGUCCAGACUCCUACGGGAGGCAGCAGUGGGGAAUCUUGCACAAUGGGCGCAAGCCUGAUGCAGCCAUGCCGCGUGUAUGAAGAAGGCCUUCGGGUUGUAAAGUACUUUCAGCGGGGAGGAAGGGAGUAAAGUUAAUACCUUUGCUCAUUGACGUUACCCGCAGAAGAAGCACCGGCUAACUCCGUG